Nematolebias whitei (Rio pearlfish) is the source of this 428-nucleotide long non-coding RNA. RefSeq lists it as uncharacterized. The record is from RefSeq and is a predicted model, not a curated record. The transcript is spliced from 4 exons. Lineage: Eukaryota; Metazoa; Chordata; Actinopteri; Cyprinodontiformes; Rivulidae.
GCUCCUGCCAUAGUGGAGAAUUAAGCUGUACAGGACCACCAAAAGAUGAUUCAUGCACCCAUCCAAUGGUUUACUACAACUGCUCGAAUGCAAAGCCGGGUGAAACAGGUUCUGAGUGCCAAAGGAGCUGCCAGACAGUGGACUCAGAAUGUGUAAGUGUUCAAUGUGUCCCGGGCUGUGUGUGUCCUGAUGGUCUGCUGUCAGAUAUGAAAGGAGGCUGUGUGAAGGAGGAACAGUGUACAUGUGCACAUGGUGGAAAAUUCUAUGAACCAGGAAGUGAAAUAACUGUGAGCUGUCAAAGAUGCACAUGUAAAGGUAGGAGAUGGGAAUGCACGGAUAACGACUGUGGUGCAAAGUGCACCAUAUAUGGAGAGGGGAAUUACAUAACCUUUGAUGAACGAAAAUUUGCCUUUAAAGGGGCUUGUGGU